Molecule: long non-coding RNA, 425 nt
Organism: Mastomys coucha (southern multimammate mouse)
Lineage: Eukaryota; Metazoa; Chordata; Mammalia; Rodentia; Muridae
Exons: 3
Source: RefSeq, a predicted model, not a curated record
GGCUUCAUUUUUCCUGCCUGAUGUUGGGACCCAGACCCCAAUCCUCUACUUGAAGAAAGUCACAUAAUCCUUAGCAAAAUUACACGUUCACGUUCAACUUCCUCUCUCCAGAUUGCUUUUGUUCGCCCUGAAUAAAGUAUAUGCACACCAGUGUUUCCCUGAAGAUCAUCUAAGAGAGCUGUAGUACUUAAAUCUUCAGAGAAGGCCUUUUCCCCCACCCCCACUGCCAUAACAGGAUCCUGAUGUGGACUCUGCUCCGUCAUUUCCCAUCCAGUGUGAACACCCCAAUGGAGGAAGUAGAAUGAGAACCACAGGCAUCAACAAUAGUGAAAUCACUGCGUCAUGAUAGCUAGUGAAACACCCCCGAAACAAGUGGUUUUGACUGUAAAUGCCAGAAUCCUACUACAUGUAUUCUACCCAAAGCA